RNAcentral lists this long non-coding RNA (327 nucleotides) under Musa acuminata (dwarf banana). RNAcentral describes it as "long non-coding RNA (MACU_LNC006676)". Lineage: Eukaryota; Viridiplantae; Streptophyta; Magnoliopsida; Zingiberales; Musaceae. The record is from RNAcentral.
GUGGAGAACCCGGGAGACGAGCAGGCGUCGACCGUUCGACGAAAGGCGCUGCUGCACACGCCCACCAACGAGGUGAUCACCUCCUACGCGACGCUGGAGCGGGAGCUGCUGGGACUGGGGUGGGAGCGCUACUACGAGGAACCCGACCUCCUCCAGUUUCACAAGCGCUCCUCCAUCGACCUCAUCUCCCUCCCCAAGGACUUCUCCCGCUUCAAGUCCAUCCACAUGUACGACAUCGUCGUCAAGAACCGCCACUCCUUCAAGGUCAUCGACCUGUAGCCUGCCUGCAUGCACACCCAACCCUACUCCUACUUUUGAAUAGCGUGU